GCGUAAUGAUGGCCAGGCUGUCUCCACCCGAGACUCAGUGAAAUUGAACUCGCUGUGAAGAUGCAGUGUACCCGCGGCAAGACGGAAAGACCCCGUGAACCUUUACUAUAGCUUGACACUGAACAUUGAGCCUUGAUGUGUAGGAUAGGUGGGAGGCUUUGAAGCGUGGACGCCAGUCUGCGUGGAGCCGACCUUGAAAUACCACCCUUUAAUGUUUGAUGUUCUAACGUGGACCCGUAAUCCGGGUUGCGGACAGUGUCUGGUGGGUAGUUUGACUGGGGCGGUCUCCUCCUAAAGAGUAACGGAGGAGCACGAAGGUUGGCUAAUCCUGGUCGGACAUCAGGAGGUUAGUGCAAUGGCAUAAGCCAGCUUGACUGCGAGCGUGACGGCGCGAGCAGGUGCGAAAGCAGGUCAUAGUGAUCCGGUGGUUCUGAAUGGAAGGGCCAUCGCUCAACGGAUAAAAGGUACUCCGGGGAUAACAGGCUGAUACCGCCCAAGAGUUCAUAUCGACGGCGGUGUUUGGCACCUCGAUGUCGGCUCAUCACAUCCUGGGGCUGAAGUAGGUCCCAAGGGUAUGGCUGUUCGCCAUUUAAAGUGGUACGCGAGCUGGGUUUAGAACGUCGUGAGACAGUUCGGUCCCUAUCUGCCGUGGGCGCUGGAGAACUGAGGGGGGCUGCUCCUAGUACGAGAGGACCGGAGUGGACGCAUCACUGGUGUUCGGGUUGUCAUGCCAAUGGCACUGCCCGGUAGCUAAAUGCGGAAGAGAUAAGUGCUGAAAGCAUCUAAGCACGAAACUUGCCCCGAG
This 805-nucleotide ribosomal RNA is filed under the name Salmonella enterica. RNAcentral describes it as "partial 23S ribosomal RNA". It matches the Rfam family "Bacterial large subunit ribosomal RNA", at positions 1999 to 2803 of the family's 2925-position model. The record is from RNAcentral. Lineage: Bacteria; Pseudomonadati; Pseudomonadota; Gammaproteobacteria; Enterobacterales; Enterobacteriaceae.